RNAcentral lists this unclassified non-coding RNA (21 nucleotides) under Mus musculus (house mouse). RNAcentral describes it as "oocyte_clustered_small_RNA13083". The record is from RNAcentral. Lineage: Eukaryota; Metazoa; Chordata; Mammalia; Rodentia; Muridae.
AUGAUGAAGUUCUGGUUGCUG